Molecule: ribosomal RNA, 497 nt
Filed under: uncultured bacterium
Lineage: Bacteria
Description: partial 16S ribosomal RNA
Rfam family: Bacterial small subunit ribosomal RNA
Source: RNAcentral
GAUGAACGCUGGCGGCGUGCCUAAUACAUGCAAGUCGAGCGAACAGAUGAGGAGCUUGCUCCUCUGACGUUAGCGGCGGACGGGUGAGUAACACGUGGAUAACCUACCUAUAAGACUGGGAUAACUUCGGGAAACCGGAGCUAAUACCGGAUAAUAUAUUGAACCGCAUGGUUCAAUAGUGAAAGACGGUUUUGCUGUCACUUAUAGAUGGAUCCGCGCCGCAUUAGCUAGUUGGUAAGGUAACGGCUUACCAAGGCGACGAUGCGUAGCCGACCUGAGAGGGUGGACGGCAACAAUGGAAGUGAGACACGGUAUGGACGACUAAGGGAGGCAGCAGUGGGGAAUAGUGGACAAUGGGCGAAAGCUUGAAAGAGAAAUAAAGAGUGAGGGAAGAAGGGAGUAGGAUUGUAAAACCCUUUUGAUGGGAAAGAAAAGAAGAGGGAGAAAAAACCGCUGUUCUGACGGUACAGAAAGAAUAAGAAACGGCUAACUUCGUG